Molecule: ribosomal RNA, 462 nt
Filed under: uncultured bacterium
Lineage: Bacteria
Description: partial 16S ribosomal RNA
Rfam family: Bacterial small subunit ribosomal RNA
Source: RNAcentral
GAUAAACGCUGGCGGCGUGCUUAGCACAUGCAAGUCGAACGAAGUUUUUCCUUCGGGAGCAACUUAGUGGCGGACGGGUGAGUAGCGCGUGGGUAACCUGCCCUGUACAGGGGGACAACAGCUGGAAACGGCUGCUAAUACCGCAUAAGCCCUUAGCACUGCAUGGUGCAUAGGGAAAAGGAGCAAUCCGGUACAGGAUGGACCCGCGUCUGAUUAGCCAGUUGGCAGGGUAACGGCCUACCAAAGCGACGAUCAGUAGCCGAUCUGAGAGGAUGUACGGCCACAUUGGGACUGAGACACGGCCCAGACUCCUACGGGAGGCAGCAGUGGGGAAUAUUGCACAAUGGAGGAAACUCUGAUGCAGCGACGCCGCGUGAGUGAAGAAGUAUUUCGGUAUGUAAAGCUCUAUCAGCAGGGAAGAAAAUGACGGUACCUGACUAAGAAGCACCGGCUAAAUACGUG